RNAcentral lists this ribosomal RNA (434 nucleotides) under uncultured bacterium. RNAcentral's name for it is "bacterial SSU rRNA". It matches the Rfam family "Bacterial small subunit ribosomal RNA", at positions 29 to 506 of the family's 1533-position model. The record is from RNAcentral.
AGCGAACGCUGGCGGCAGGCCUAACACAUGCAAGUCGAGCGCCCGUAGCGAUACGGGAGCGGCAGACGGGAGAGUAACACGUGGGAACGUACCCUUUGGUUCGGAACAACACAGGGAAACUUGUGCUAAUACCGGAUAAGCCCUUACGGGGAAAGAUUUAUCGCCAAAGGAUCGGCCCGCGUCUGAUUAGCUAGUUGGUGGGGUAACGGCUCACCAAGGCGACGAUCAGUAGCUGGUCUGAGAGGAUGACCAGCCUCAUUGGGACUGAGACACGGCCCAAACUCCUACGGGAGGCAGCAGUGGGGAAGUAUUGGACAAUGGGCGCAAGCCUGAUCCAGCCAUGCCGCGUGGAUGAUGAAGGCCUUAGGGUUGUAAAGUCCUUUUAACGGGAAGAUAAUGACGGUACCCGUAGAAUAAGCCCCGGCUAACUUCGU